RNAcentral lists this ribosomal RNA (502 nucleotides) under uncultured bacterium. RNAcentral describes it as "bacterial SSU rRNA". It matches the Rfam family "Bacterial small subunit ribosomal RNA", at positions 30 to 506 of the family's 1533-position model. The record is from RNAcentral.
UUGAACGCUGGCGGCAGGCCUAACACAUGCAAGUCGAGCGGUAGCGGGAAGAGCUUGCUCUUUGCCGACGAGCGGCGGACGGGUGCGUAACACGUAGGAAUCUGCCUGGUAGUGGGGGAUAGCCCGGAGAAAUCCGGAUUAAUACCGCAUACGCACUAGCUCUUUAUGAGCGGUGGAAAGGAGGGGAUCGGUUCGCCGACCUUUCGCUAUCGGAUGAGCCUGCGUCGGAUUAGCUUGUUGGUGGGGUAAAGGCCUACCAAGGCGACGAUCCGUAGCUGGUCUGAGAGGAUGAUCAGCCACACUGGGACUGAGACACGGCCCAGACUCCUACGGGAGGCAGCAGUGGGGAAUAUUGCACAAUGGGCGAAAGCCUGAUGCAGCCAUGCCGCGUGUGUGAAGAAGGCCCUAGGGUUGUAAAGCACUUUCAGUGGGGAGGAAAGGUUGAAGGUUAAUACCCUUCAGCUGUGACGUUACCCACAGAAGAAGCACCGGCUAACUCCGU